GACGAACGCGGGCGGCGUGCUUAAUACAUGCAAGUAGAACGCUGAAGGAGGAGCUUGCUUCUCUGGAUGAGUUGCGAACGGGUGAGUAACGCGUAGGUAACCUGCCUGGUAGCGGGGGAUAACUAUUGGAAACGAUAGCUAAUACCGCAUAAGAGUAGAUGUUGCAUGACAUUUGCUUAAAAGGUGCAAUUGCAUCACUACCAGAUGGACCUGCGUUGUAUUAGCUAGUUGGUGAGGUAACGGCUCACCAAGGCAACGAUACAUAGCCGACCUGAGAGGGUGAUCGGCCACACUGGGACUGAGACACGGCCCAGACUCCUACGGGAGGCAGCAGUAGGGAAUCUUCGGCAAUGGACGGAAGUCUGACCGAGCAACGCCGCGUGAGUGAAGAAGGUUUUCGGAUCGUAAAGCUCUGUUGUAAGAGAAGAACGAGUGUGAGAGUGGAAAGUUCACACUGUGACGUAUCUACCAGAAAGGACG
RNAcentral lists this ribosomal RNA (480 nucleotides) under Streptococcus mitis. Its description in RNAcentral is "bacterial SSU rRNA". It matches the Rfam family "Bacterial small subunit ribosomal RNA", at positions 28 to 494 of the family's 1533-position model. The record is from RNAcentral. Lineage: Bacteria; Bacillati; Bacillota; Bacilli; Lactobacillales; Streptococcaceae.